Molecule: ribosomal RNA, 844 nt
Filed under: uncultured Bacillota bacterium
Lineage: Bacteria; Bacillati; Bacillota
Description: bacterial SSU rRNA
Rfam family: Bacterial small subunit ribosomal RNA
Source: RNAcentral
CAAGUCGAACGAGAAAGUGGAGCAAUCCAUGAGUACAGUGGCGUACGGGUGAGUAACACGUGGGUAAUCUACCUCUUAGUGGGGAAUAACCGAGGGAAACCUUGGCUAAUACCGCAUAAGCCUGAGAAGGGAAAGCAGCAAUGCGCUGAGAGAGGAGCCCGCGGCUGAUUAGCUAGUUGGUGGGGUAAGAGCCUACCAAGGCAGAGAUCGGUAGCCGGCCUGAGAGGGCACACGGCCACACUGGCACUGAAACACGGGCCAGACUCCUACGGGAGGCAGCAGUGGGGAAUCUUGCACAAUGGGGGAAACCCUGAUGCAGCGACGCCGCGUGAGCGAUGAAGCCCUUCGGGGUGUAAAGCUCUUUCGUCAGGGAAGAUAAUGACGGUACCUGGAGAAGCAGCUGCGGCUAACUACGUGCCAGCAGCCGCGGUAAUACGUAGGCAGCAAGCGUUGUUCGGAGUUACUGGGCGUAAAGGGUGUGUAGGCGGUUCUUUAAGUUUGGUGUGAAAUCUCCCGGCUCAACUGGGAGGGUGCGCCGAAUACUGAGGGACUAGAGUACGGGAGAGGAAAGUGGAAUUCCUGGUGUAGCGGUGAAAUGCGUAGAUAUCAGGAGGAACACCGGUGGUGUAGACGGCUUUCUGGACCGACACUGACGCUGAGACACGAAAGCGUGGGUAGCAAACAGGAUUAGAUACCCUGGUAGUCCACGCCCUAAACGAUGCAUAUUUGGUGUGGGCAGUUCAUUCUGUCCGUGCCGGAGCUAACGCGUUAAUAUGCCGCCUGGGGAGUACAGUCGCAAGGCUGAAACUCAAAGGAAUUGACGGGGGCCCGCACAAGCGGUGGA